GCGUUGAAAAGCUCGGGGAUGACUUGUGGGUAGCGGUGAAAUUCCAAUCGAGCCCGGAGAUAGCUGGUUCUCCCCGAAAUAGCUUUAGGGCUAGCCUCAAGGUGAGAGAUACGGAGGUAGAGCACUGAAUGUCCUAGGGGGUAUUGCACCUACCGAAGACUAUCAAACUCCGAAUGCCGUCAUCUUAUACUUGGGAGUCAGACUGUGGGUGAUAAGAUUCAUAGUCGAAAGGGCAACAGCCCAGAUCGUCAGCUAAGGUCCCUAAAUGUAAGUUAAGUGGUAAAGGAUGUGGGAUUGCACAGACAACCAGGAUGUUGGCUUAGAAGCAGCCACUCAUUCAAAGAGUGCGUAAUAGCUCACUGGUCGAGUGAUCCUGCGCCGAAGAUUUCCGGGGCUAAAAAUUACUACCGAAGCUACGGCAUCAGUAAUGAUGGGUAGGGGAGCUUCCCAUACGGGUUGAAGCAUGACCGUAAGGACAUGUGGACAGUAUGGGAGUGAGAAUGUUGGCAUGAGUAGCGAGAUGUGGGUGGGAAUCCCACAGGCCGUAAACCCAAGGUUUCCAGGGGAAGGUUCGUCCGCCCUGGGUUAGUCGGGACCUAAGCUGAGGCCGAAAGGCGUAGGUGAUGGACAACAGGUUGAUAUUCCUGUACUACCGAUAACCGUUUGAGAGAAGGGAUGACACAGUAGGAUAAGCUAAGCACACUGUUGGUUAUGUGUGCCCAAGCAUUGAGGCAGUCAAAGUAGGCAAAUCCGCUUUGAUAAUGCUGGGAUGUGAUGGGGAGCGAAAUUUAGUAGCGAAGUAGCUGAUUUCACACUGUCAAGAAAAGUCUCUAUCGAGGUUAAAGGUACCCGUACCGCAAACCGACACAGGUGGGUGAGGAGAGUAUCCUAAGGCCAGCGAGAGAACUGUUGUUAAGGAAAUCGGCAAAAUGACCCCGUAACUUAGGGAUAAGGGGUGCCACCAUCAGGUGGCCGCAGAGAAUAGGCCCAAGCGACUGUUUACCAAAAACAUAGGUUUCUGCUAAGUCGCAAGACGAUGUAUAGGAGCUGACGCCUGCCCGGUGCUGGAAGGUUAAGGGGAUCUGUUAGAGCAAUCGAAGCAGUGAACUUAAGCCCCAGUAAACGGCGGCCGUAACUAUAACGGUCCUAAGGUAGCGAAAUUCCUUGUCGGGUAAGUUCCGACCCGCACGAAAGGCGUAACGAUUUGGGCACUGUCUCAACAACAGACUCGGUGAAAUUGUAAUUCCGGUGAAGAUGCCGGAUACCUG
Molecule: ribosomal RNA, 1268 nt
Filed under: Clostridioides difficile
Lineage: Bacteria; Bacillati; Bacillota; Clostridia; Peptostreptococcales; Peptostreptococcaceae
Description: bacterial LSU rRNA
Rfam family: Bacterial large subunit ribosomal RNA
Source: RNAcentral